Molecule: transfer RNA, 72 nt
Filed under: Bos taurus (domestic cattle)
Lineage: Eukaryota; Metazoa; Chordata; Mammalia; Artiodactyla; Bovidae
Also listed under: 4 other names
Rfam family: tRNA
About the family: Transfer RNA (tRNA) molecules are approximately 80 nucleotides in length.
Source: Rfam by way of RNAcentral
UCCCUGAUGUCUCAGUGGUAAAGAAUCUGCCUGUGAAUGCAGGAGACUCAGGUUCAAUCCCUAGGUAGGGAA